UACGAAGGGGGCUAGCGUUGCUCGGAAUCACUGGGCGUAAAGGGUGCGUAGGCGGGUUUUUAAGUCAGGGGUGAAAUCCUGGAGCUCAACUCCAGAACUGCCUUUGAUACUGAAGAUCUUGAGUCCGGGAGAGGUGAGUGGAACUGCGAGUGUAGAGGUGAAAUUCGUAGAUAUUCGCAAGAACACCAGUGGCGAAGGCGGCUCACUGGCCCGAUACUGACGCUGAGGCACGAAAGCGUGGGGAGCAAGCAGG
Molecule: ribosomal RNA, 253 nt
Filed under: uncultured bacterium
Lineage: Bacteria
Description: partial 16S ribosomal RNA
Rfam family: Bacterial small subunit ribosomal RNA
Source: RNAcentral